CCUGCAGGGCCUGAGCCUUGCGCUGGGGAAGCCUUACAAUAGCCCCCCAGGAGGGCCCCGCAUCUGGCUUUCCAGAGACUGGCGUGUCUUCAUCCAAGUAUGGGGAGCAGUUGGCCAAAGCCCAGGUCUGAGCGCAGGGCAGUGUCACCCUGCUUGGAUGCACUUUCCUCCUUGAGACUGAGUAGGAUGGAAACUGAGGCUCCUCUGAGUGGAGGAUUGGAACUCAAGGCCGGGUUUGGAGGGGGUGUUUGCCCCCCCACCCUGCGGCCCGCCAGGCUGACGCUGGGAGAUUUCCGCUGAUCGGGGCGGAGUGAGGCCCGUGACUGUGACCCGGAGCUCAAGGGCUGAGGAGCGCGUUCUGUGGACGCCAGCGGAAGGCUGGAGGUCAGACUGGCAAAGUUCUCCUGCCUGGCCAGGGAAACUGAGGCCCAGAGAACUAAAAGGAACCGACUACAACAGUGAGAGAGUGAGCAGGGGAAGAGCAGAGAAAGAAGGAGACAC
Long non-coding RNA from Suricata suricatta (meerkat), 501 nucleotides. RefSeq lists it as uncharacterized. The transcript has 4 exons. The record is from RefSeq and is a predicted model, not a curated record. Lineage: Eukaryota; Metazoa; Chordata; Mammalia; Carnivora; Herpestidae.